ACGCUCGACACCUACGGGAGGAGCAGUAGGGAAUCUUCCACAAUGGACGCAAGUCUGAUGGAGCAACGCCGCGUGAGUGAAGAAGGUUUUCGGAUCGUAAAGCUCUGUUGUUGGUGAAGAAGGAUAGAGGUAGUAACUGGCCUUUAUUUGACGGUAAUCAACCAGAAAGUCACGGCUAACUACGUACCAGCAGCCGCGGUAAUCUGAGCGGGCUGGCAAGGC
This 222-nucleotide ribosomal RNA is filed under the name uncultured bacterium. RNAcentral describes it as "partial 16S ribosomal RNA". It matches the Rfam family "Bacterial small subunit ribosomal RNA", at positions 328 to 539 of the family's 1533-position model. The record is from RNAcentral.